GAUGAAGAACGUAGCGAAAUGCGAUAAGUAGUGUGAAUUGCAGAAUUCAGUGAAUCAUCGAAUCUUUGAACGCACAUUGCGCCCCUUGGUACUCCAUGGGGCAUGCCUGUUCGAGCGUCAUUUACACCCUCAAGCUCAGCUUGGUGUUGGGCGUCUGUCCCGCUUCGUGCGCGGACUCGCCUCAAAUGCAUUGGCAGCGGUCUUGCCAGCUUCUCGCGCAGCACAUUGCGCUUCUAGAGGCUUUGGCGGAUCGGCGUCCAUCAAGUACACCCACAGUUUGACCUCAGAUCAGGUAGGGAUACCCGCUGAACUUAAGCAUAUCAAUAAGCGGAGGA
This 335-nucleotide unclassified non-coding RNA is filed under the name soil metagenome. Its description in RNAcentral is "partial contains 5.8S ribosomal RNA, internal transcribed spacer 2, and large subunit ribosomal RNA". The stretch from base 1 to 120 matches the Rfam family "5.8S ribosomal RNA", at positions 35 to 154 of the family's 154-position model. The record is from RNAcentral.